Molecule: ribosomal RNA, 1809 nt
Filed under: Rhipicephalus microplus (southern cattle tick)
Lineage: Eukaryota; Metazoa; Arthropoda; Arachnida; Ixodida; Ixodidae
Description: SSU rRNA
Rfam family: Eukaryotic small subunit ribosomal RNA
Source: RNAcentral
CCUGGUUGAUCCUGCCAGUAAUCAUAUGCUUGUCUCAAAGAUUAAGCCAUGCAUGUCUAAGUACAUGCCGAAAUAAGGCGAAACCGCGAAUGGCUCAUUAAAUCAGUUAUGGUUCCUUAGAUCGUUUCUUCCUACUUGGAUAACUGUGGCAAUUCUAGAGCUAAUACAUGCAGUGAGCCUGGAGCCCUUUGGGUAACGGGUGCUUUUAUUAGACCAAGAUCGAUCGGGUUUCGGCCCGUAUUGUGUGGUGACUCUGGAUAACUUUGUGCUGAUCGCAUGGCCACGAGCCGGCGACGUUUCUUUCAAGUGUCUGCCUUAUCAACUUUCGAUGGUAGGUUACUUGCUUACCAUGGUUGUUACGGGUAACGGAGAAUCAGGGUUCGAUUCCGGAGAGGGAGCCUGAGAAACGGCUACCACAUCCAAGGAAGGCAGCAGGCGCGCAAAUUACCCACUCCCGGCACGGGGAGGUAGUGACGAAAAAUAACAAUACGGGACUCUUUUGAGGCCCCGUAAUUGAAAUGAGUACACUCUAAAUCCUUUAACGAGGAUCAAUUGGAGGGCAAGUCUGGUGCCAGCAGCCGCGGUAAUUCCAGCUCCAAUAGCGUAUACUAAAGCUGCUGCGGUUAAAAAGCUCGUAGUUGGAUCUCAGUUCCAGACGAGUAGUGCAUCUACCCGAUGCGACGGCUCGGACUGAACAUCAUGCCGGUUCUUUCUUGGUGCACUUCAUUGUGUGCCUCGAGAUGGCCGGUGCUUUUACUUUGAAAAAAUUAGAGUGCUCAACGCAGGCGAGUCGCCUGAAUAAACUUGCAUGCAUGGAAUAAUAGAACAAGACCUCGUUUCUGUUCUGUUGGUUUUUGGAAUACGAGGUAAUGAUUAAGAGGGACGGACGGGGGCAUUCGUAUUGCGGCGCUAGAGGUGAAAUUCUUGGACCGUCGCAAGACGAACUACUGCGAAAGCAUUUGCCAAGAAUGUUUUCAUUGAUCAAGAACGAAAGUCAGAGGUUCGAAGGCGAUCAGAUACCGCCCUAGUUCUGACCAUAAACGAUGCCAACCAGCGAUCCGCCUGAGUUACUCAAAUGACUCGGCGGGCAGCUUCCGGGAAACCAAAGUAUUUGGGUUCCGGGGGAAGUAUGGUUGCAAAGCUGAAACUUAAAGGAAUUGACGGAAGGGCACCACCAGGAGUGGAGCCUGCGGCUUAAUUUGACUCAACACGGGAAAACUUACCCGGCCCGGACACUGGGAGGAUUGACAGAUUGAGAGCUCUUUCUUGAUUCGGUGGAUGGUGGUGCAUGGCCGUUCUUAGUUGGUGGAGCGAUUUGUCUGGUUAAUUCCGAUAACGAACGAGACUCUAGCCUAUUAAAUAGGUGCGGGGUUCCCAGCACCUUACAACCUUCUUAGAGGGACAAGCGGCUCCUAGCCGCACGAAACAGAGCAAUAACAGGUCUGUGAUGCCCUUAGAUGUCCGGGGCCGCACGCGCGCUACACUGAAGGAAGCAGCGUGUCUUUAUCCCUGUCUGAAAAGACUGGGUAACCCGUGGAACUUCUUUCGUGAUUGGGAUAGGGGCUUGCAAUUGUUCCCCUUGAACGAGGAAUUCCCAGUAAGCGCGAGUCAUAAGCUCGCGUUGAUUACGUCCCUGCCCUUUGUACACACCGCCCGUCGCUACUACCGAUUGAAUGAUUUAGUGAGGUCUUCGGACCGAUGUCCGGCGCGGCCUUUCGGUUGCGCCGGUCUGUUGGAAAGAUGACCAAACUUGAUCAUUUAGAGGAAGUAAAAGUCGUAACAAGGUUUCCGUAGGUGAACCACAACCUG